GUGACCUGCGGAGGAUCAUUACAGAGUUAGGGUCUUCCAGGCCCGAUCUCCAACCCUUUGUGUACCUACCUUUGUUGCUUUGGCGGGCCCGUUGGGGCGACCCACCGGUGGCCUUUGGCUUCCGAGUGCCCGUCAGAGACCCUUCCAAACCUGUCAAUUGUGUCGUCUGAGUACCAAUUCAAUAAUUAAAACUUUCAACAACGGAUCUCUUGGUUCUGGCAUCGAUGAAGAACGCAGCGAAAUGCGAUAAGUAAUGUGAAUUGCAGAAUUCAGUGAAUCAUCGAAUCUUUGAACGCACAUUGCGCCUCUCGGUAUUCCGGGAGGCAUGCCUGUUCGAGCGUCAUUACACCACUCAAGCUCGGCUUGGUGUUGGGCCCUCGUCCCUCGCGGACGUGCCCGGAAAUCAGUGGCGGCGCAGCCCGGCUUCAAGCGCAUCAGUCGUAACAACACUUUGGAAGUCCGGGUCUGGGUCUGCCAGACAACCCCAUCAUUUUAUCAUGGUUGACCUCGGAUCAGGUAGGGAUACCCGCUGAACUUAAGCAUAUCAAUAAGCGGAGGAAAAGAAACCAACAGGGAUUGCCUCAGUAACGGCGAGUGAAGCGGCAACAGCUCAAAUUUGAAAUCUGGCUCUUUCAGGGUCCGAGUUGUAAUUUGCAGAGGAUGCUUCGGGUUCGGCUCCGGUCUAAGUUCCUUGGAACAGGACGUCAUAGAGGGUGAGAAUCCCGUAUGUGACCGGUCGCCACGCCCGUGUGAAGCUCCUUCGACGAGUCGAGUUGUUUGGGAAUGCAGCUCAAAAUGGGUGGUAAAUUUCAUCUAAAGCUAAAUAUUGGCCAGAGACCGAUAGCGCACAAGUAGAGUGAUCGAAAGAUGAAAAGCACUUUGGAAAGAGAGUCAAACAGUACGUGAAAUUGUUGAAAGGGAAGCGCUUGCAAUCAGACUUGCCCGCGGGUGAUCAGCCGGUAUUCUUACCGGUGCACUCGCCCGUGGUCAGGCCAGCAUCGGUUCGGGCGGCUGGAUAAAGUCCACCGGAACGUAGCUCCCCUCGGGGAGUGUUAUAGCCGGAGGUGCCAUGCAGCCCGCCCGGACCGAGGACCGCGCU
RNAcentral lists this small RNA (1099 nucleotides) under Polysporina subfuscescens. Its description in RNAcentral is "eukaryotic LSU rRNA". The stretch from base 503 to 1099 matches the Rfam family "Eukaryotic large subunit ribosomal RNA", at positions 1 to 601 of the family's 3401-position model. The record is from RNAcentral. Lineage: Eukaryota; Fungi; Ascomycota; Lecanoromycetes; Acarosporales; Acarosporaceae.